AAACACUAUUUCUCCCAGCCCGAAUGCUGGAGUGGGUGUAUAUGCAACUGAUAUCCCCAGUAACUGCGGGCUCCCUUUGGCUGCUAAGUGAAUGGCAGGGAGGCUUGAGGCUGCGCUGUUCACUUUAGGAAACAGCGAGGUGUCUGAGCUAGGGAAUCCUAAAAAGGAUUACUGUCACAAAUUGAAUUGAAAUUUAAGAAACACACAAACUGAAACAAGACCUUUUAAUUUGUAGCCCCAAACAGGCAAACUGCUCUGUUGAAACAAUUAAGCAGCUGUGAUGAGGAGGGGCAGCAAUACACAGCAGCUGCCCGGAUUUCCAAGGAGGUUACAGAGAGUUCACGGACUUAGAACCACUCUAGCUCACCUGGCUCCACGUGGCGACUCAAGGCUCUGCACCCUUCCGGCCGCUAAGACAAGGCCUCAGACACGGGGUUCUGCCCUGUCUACUGUCAGCAGAGCCAAGCUGAGAAGGAUGGGCACGAGAAAAGGUUGCAGUUGAUAUGAGAAGAGAGGAAGUAAAACUGAUCCGCUCCUUGUUUGGAGACUGAAACAGUCUUUGUAAGACAAUGAAAGGUCACAAGAUUAGUAUUCUGAGAGGGGCCUGAAUUCUGCUAAAAUGUUUUUUUCUGAAGGCUGCUACCUGUGAGGUUUCAUCUGCAUAGUUUCUCAUCCAAAUUACAACUCUCAACUCUAAUGAUGUUGAAAUAUAUGAAGUCCCACUUAAGCUUGCAAGUCCUCCAGCUUCCCUCCAUGGACUUCAUAGUCCUGGGAGAUGUUUUCUAGGCCUCUAUGGCAGAAUUCGCAGUCUCCACAUGUCAGUAGAAGCAGGGAGAAGGUAACUGUCAUGGCCUCCAUAUUCUCCAUAGAUGGGUCUGCUACUAGGAGGACAUGUCAGGCUUAUGAGAAUCAAAUCUCUGUUAUGCCAAGGAAGUUGACAUUGAAGACUGAGUGCUUUUUACUGCAGGCCAAGAAACAGGCUUCUUGGAGCUUUCAAGAACUACUCUUCUUGUUAUAGGAGGUUGCUAACUUUGGAGGAAGCCAGCUGCCAUGUCACAAAAAGAUUCAGGAAGCCAUGUGGAGAGGCCCACAUCAUGAGGAACUGAGGUCUUUGCCAAUUACCAGCAAGGAAAUGAGGCCUCCUGCCAACAGCCACGUGAGUAUCCUACCUUGGAAAUGGACCCUCUAACUUCAAUCAGCCUUCAAAUAACUGCAGCCCCAGUUGAUGGCUUGACUGCAACCUUAGGAGAAACCCUGAGCCAAAAACAUUGAGGAAAAACACCCCCAGAUUCCUAUCAGAAAUUGUGUAAGAUAAUAAAUGUUUGUUGUUUUAAGCUGCUAA
Molecule: long non-coding RNA, 1342 nt
Filed under: Homo sapiens (human)
Lineage: Eukaryota; Metazoa; Chordata; Mammalia; Primates; Hominidae
Description: long non-coding RNA NONHSAT155854.1
Source: RNAcentral